CCUACGGGGUGCUGCAGUCGAGAAUCAUUCACAAUGGAGGAAACCCUGAUGGUGCGACGCCGCGUGGGGGAAUGAAGGUCUUCGGAUUGUAAACCCCUUUCAUGUGGGAGCAAAUUAAAAAGAUAGUACCACAAGAGGAAGAGACGGCUAACCCGGUGCCAGCAGCCGCGGUAAUACAGAGGUCUCAAGCCUUGUUCGGAAUCACUGGGCGUAAGGCGUGCGGAGGCUGUUUCGUAAGUCGUGUGUGAAAGGCUCGGGCUCAACCGGCGGACGGCACUUGAUACUGUGAGACUAGAGUGAUGGAGGGGGAACCGGAAUUCUCGGUGUAGCAGUGAAAUGCGGAGAUAUCGAGAGGAACACUCGUGGCGAAGGCGGGUUCCUGGACAUUAACUGACGCUGAGGCACGAAGGCCAGGGGAGCGAAAGGGAUUAGAUACCCUUGUAGUC
Molecule: ribosomal RNA, 446 nt
Filed under: uncultured bacterium
Lineage: Bacteria
Description: partial 16S ribosomal RNA
Rfam family: Bacterial small subunit ribosomal RNA
Source: RNAcentral